RNAcentral lists this unclassified non-coding RNA (343 nucleotides) under Hevea brasiliensis (rubber tree). Lineage: Eukaryota; Viridiplantae; Streptophyta; Magnoliopsida; Malpighiales; Euphorbiaceae. The record is from RNAcentral.
UGCAGCUCAUCCAACAGUUGCGAGUAAGUGAACAUCAAACAGGGGUUGUAGAGACUAUAUAUUAAUGAACUGGCAUCACCAUCAUAGCCUUUAUGAACCACUGCCACUAUCUUUGUUGAUGAUCCAUAACUGCCUGAUCACCACUAUGGAUAUAAAAGAACAUGUCUUUAUUCCUCCUUAAUAGCAAAGGCAAAUAUUUUCCAAAAAUAUCAGAAAGCACACCAAAUUUUAUCUGAGUUUUCUGUUUCAUUAUUUUAGGGCUUAUAAGUAAAGUUCAUUGCUGUUUCUCACUUAAUAUUGUAUAACCUGUUUCCUGUGCAUAAGUAAAGCUAUUAGAUUUGAG